Molecule: ribosomal RNA, 468 nt
Filed under: uncultured bacterium
Lineage: Bacteria
Description: partial 16S ribosomal RNA
Rfam family: Bacterial small subunit ribosomal RNA
Source: RNAcentral
GACGAACGCUGGCGGCGCGCCUAACACAUGCAAGUCGAACGGAGUCAAGAGGAGCUUGCUUUUCUUGACUUAGUGGCGAACGGGUGAGUAACGCGUGAGUAACCUGCCCUGGAGUGGGGGACAACAGUUGGAAACGACUGCUAAUACCGCAUAAGCCCACGGAUCCGCAUGGAUCUGCGGGAAAAGGAUUUAUUCGCUUCAGGAUGGACUCGCGUCCAAUUAGCUAGUUGGUGAGGUAACGUCCCACCAAGGCGACGAUUGGUAGCCGGACUGAGAGGUUGAACGGCCACAUUGGGACUGAGACACGGCCCAGACUCCUACGGGAGGCAGCAGUGGGGGAUAUUGCACAAUGGGGGAAACCCUGAUGCAGCGACGCCGCGUGGAGGAAGAAGGUUUUCGGAUUGUAAACUCCUGUCGUUAGGGACGAUAAUGACGGUACCUAACAAGAAAGCACCGGCUAACUACGUG